GUGGUGUAACGGACCACCAAGGCUUCGACGGGUAGCUGGUCUGAGAGGACGAUCAGCCACACUGGGACUGAGACACGGCCCAGACUCCUACGGGAGGCAGCAGUGGGGAAUCUUGCGCAAUGGGCGAAAGCCUGACGCAGCAACGCCGCGUGAGGGACGAAGGCCUUCGGGUUGUAAACCUCUUUCAGCAGGGACGAUGAUGACGGUACCUGCAGAAGAAGCCCCGGCCAACUACGUGCCAGCAGCCGCGGUAAUACGUAGGGGGCGAGCGUUGUCCGGAAUCAUUGGGCGUAAAGAGCUCGUAGGCGGCUUUGCAAGUCGGGUGUAAAACAUCCAGGCUCAACCUGGAGCCGCCACUCGAUACUGCAAUGCUAGAGUCCGGUAGGGGAUCACGGAAUUCCUGGUGUAGCGGUGAAAUGCGCAGAUAUCAGGAGGAACACCGGUGGCGAAGGCGGUGGUCUGGGCCGGAACUGACGCUGAGGAGCGAAAGCGUGGGGAGCGAACAGGAUUAGAUACCCUGGUAGUCCACGCCGUAAACGUUGGGCACUAGGUGUGGGACCUUAUCGACUGGGUUCCGUGCCGCAGCUA
RNAcentral lists this ribosomal RNA (588 nucleotides) under uncultured bacterium. RNAcentral's name for it is "bacterial SSU rRNA". It matches the Rfam family "Bacterial small subunit ribosomal RNA", at positions 252 to 854 of the family's 1533-position model. The record is from RNAcentral.